Molecule: non-coding RNA, 326 nt
Organism: Cinara cedri
Lineage: Eukaryota; Metazoa; Arthropoda; Insecta; Hemiptera; Aphididae
Source: the annotation of a GenBank genome assembly
UUGUUUAAUAGUAUUCUAUUUUACCAUUUUUCGUUUAUAUUUCACUUAUUGGUUUCGUCAAGUUUAUUUCGUUAUAUAAAUAACGUUAGAACUGUUUUUCUAGAAUGUUUUCGAAAUUUGAAUCGCGUUUAUAAUAGGCCAAUAUAAGUAUUUGUGAGUAUAAAAGGUCUAUACAAUAACUUUUAACCGAAAAACAACAAAACACCCAAAUGCCGUUACGCUUUGCCGUAUUUACUACGUUUUUUUUUUCGUUUUUUUUUUUCAUAGUUAAUGGCAAAACUACACGGACAAUCAAACGCUGACUUUCUUACCCAUAAACAAUUUGA